GGGGUAAACUAAACCAACAUCCAAAGUUUAAUGUCCUAUAUACCCGGUUUUAUAGAUCAAGCCCAAAACUAGACACCCAUCAAUACUUCAUGGGGUUAUUUAGACUUUUUCCGACAGGAAAACGAUAUGGCACUAGACUUAUGUGACGAACACAAGAUCACUCGAAACUAAGGGUAUAUGUGAACCUAACAGUAUACCAAAAGCUUUGAUUAUCACUUGAUGAGAACAAGGGUGGCCCGAUCUUCCGAAUGGUUCUGGUAACUCUCGAUUUGGUGGAGACGAGACACAACGAUCCAGCUUCCGAAUAACAUGAUCCGAAACUCUGUAGUUUUUUUUAUUUUUUUUAUAUUUUUCUUUUACUUAGGAGCACUAAAGAAGUAAUUCUAGAAAAUUUGAGCUUAAACAAGUGAAAGACGUGGCCUGCG
This 425-nucleotide long non-coding RNA is filed under the name Sorghum bicolor (sorghum). RNAcentral describes it as "long non-coding RNA (SBIC_LNC004804)". Lineage: Eukaryota; Viridiplantae; Streptophyta; Magnoliopsida; Poales; Poaceae. The record is from RNAcentral.